This 638-nucleotide ribosomal RNA is filed under the name uncultured bacterium. RNAcentral describes it as "bacterial SSU rRNA". The stretch from base 1 to 549 matches the Rfam family "Bacterial small subunit ribosomal RNA", at positions 338 to 873 of the family's 1533-position model. The record is from RNAcentral.
CCUACGGGAGGCAGCGGUGGGGAAUAUUGGACAAUGGGCGCAAGCCUGAUCCAGCCAUACCGCGUGUGUGAAGAAGGCCUUUUGGUUGUAAAGCACUUUAAGCGAGGAGGAGGCUCUUGAGGAUAAUACCCUUGAUGAGUGGACGUUACUCGCAGAAUAAGCACCGGCUAACUCUGUGCCAGCAGCCGCGGUAAUACAGAGGGUGCGAGCGUUAAUCGGAAUUACUGGGCGUAAAGCGCGCGUAGGCGGCUUGUUAAGUCGGAUGUGAAAUCCCCGGGCUCAACCUGGGCACUGCAUUCGAUACUGGCAAGCUAGGGUAUGGGAGAGGAAGGUAGAAUUCCAGGUGUAGCGGUGAAAUGCGUAGAGAUCUGGAGGAAUACCGAUGGCGAAGGCAGCCUUCUGGCCUAAAUACUGACGCUGAGGUGCGAAAGCAUGGGGAGCAAACAGGAUUAGAUACCCUGGUAGUCCAUGCCGUAAACGAUGUCAACUAGCCGUUGGGGACCUUGAGUCUUUAGUGGCGCAGCGACGACGAAGUAAGUUAGUUACGCCGUGGGUUAGGUUAGGUCGCGAGACGAAACGUUACGAAGGAAGUUAGACGGCGNGAGAGNGCGACGGACGACGACGAGGGAGGUUAGGAG